This 913-nucleotide ribosomal RNA is filed under the name Streptomyces longisporoflavus. RNAcentral describes it as "bacterial SSU rRNA". It matches the Rfam family "Bacterial small subunit ribosomal RNA", at positions 82 to 1006 of the family's 1533-position model. The record is from RNAcentral. Lineage: Bacteria; Bacillati; Actinomycetota; Actinomycetes; Kitasatosporales; Streptomycetaceae.
UCGGGGUGGAUUAGUGGCGAACGGGUGAGUAACACGUGGGCAAUCUGCCCUGCACUCUGGGACAAGCCCUGGAAACGGGGUCUAAUACCGGAUGACACUCCUCCUCGCAUGGGGAGGGGUUGAAAGCUCCGGCGGUGCAGGAUGAGCCCGCGGCCUAUCAGCUAGUUGGUGAGGUAGAAGCUCACCAAGGCGACGACGGGUAGCCGGCCUGAGAGGGCGACCGGCCACACUGGGACUGAGACACGGCCCAGACUCCUACGGGAGGCAGCAGUGGGGAAUAUUGCACAAUGGGCGAAAGCCUGAUGCAGCGACGCCGCGUGAGGGAUGACGGCCUUCGGGUUGUAAACCUCUUUCAGCAGGGAAGAAGCGCAAGUGACGGUACCUGCAGAAGAAGCGCCGGCUAACUACGUGCCAGCAGCCGCGGUAAUACGUAGGGCGCAAGCGUUGUCCGGAAUUAUUGGGCGUAAAGAGCUCGUAGGCGGCUUGUCACGUCGGUUGUGAAAGCCCGGGGCUUAACCCCGGGUCUGCAGUCGAUACGGGCAGGCUAGAGUGUGGUAGGGGAGAUCGGAAUUCCUGGUGUAGCGGUGAAAUGCGCAGAUAUCAGGAGGAACACCGGUGGCGAAGGCGGAUCUCUGGGCCAUUACUGACGCUGAGGAGCGAAAGCGUGGGGAGCGAACAGGAUUAGAUACCCUGGUAGUCCACGCCGUAANCGGUGGGAACUAGGUGUUGGCGACAUUCCACGUCGUCGGUGCCGCAGCUAACGCAUUAAGUUCCCCGCCUGGGGAGUACGGCCGCAAGGCUAAANCUCAANGGAAUUGACGGGGGCCCGCACAAGCAGCGGAGCAUGUGGCUUAAUUCGACGCAACGCGAAGAACCUUACCAAGGCUUGACAUAUACCGGAAAGCAUCAGAGA